UACGUAGGGCGCAAGCGUUGUCCGGAAUUAUUGGGCGUAAAGAGCUCGUAGGCGGUUUGUCGCGUCUGUCGUGAAAGCUUGGGGCUUAACCCCAAGUCUGCGGUGGAUACGGGCAGACUAGAGGCAGGUAGGGGAGAACGGAAUUCCCGGUGUAGCGGUGAAAUGCGCAGAUAUCGGGAGGAACACCGGUGGCGAAGGCGGUUCUCUGGGCCUGUACUGACGCUGAGACGCGAAAGCGUGGGGAGCAAACAGG
Molecule: ribosomal RNA, 253 nt
Filed under: uncultured bacterium
Lineage: Bacteria
Description: partial 16S ribosomal RNA
Rfam family: Bacterial small subunit ribosomal RNA
Source: RNAcentral